UACAGAGGGGGCAAGCGUUGUUCGGAAUUACUGGGCGUAAAGGGCGCGUAGGCGGCCUUCUAAGUCGAACGUGAAAUCCCCGGGCUCAACCCGGGAACUGCGUCCGAUACUGGCAGGCUUGAAUCCGGGAGAGGGAUGUGGAAUUCCAGGUGUAGCGGUGAAAUGCGUAGAUAUCGGGAGGAACACCAGUGGCGAAGGCGGGUCUCUGGGCCACUACUGACGCUGAGGAGCGAAGGCGUGGGGAGCGAACAGG
RNAcentral lists this ribosomal RNA (253 nucleotides) under uncultured bacterium. RNAcentral describes it as "partial 16S ribosomal RNA". It matches the Rfam family "Bacterial small subunit ribosomal RNA", at positions 524 to 776 of the family's 1533-position model. The record is from RNAcentral.